This 346-nucleotide ribosomal RNA is filed under the name uncultured bacterium. RNAcentral's name for it is "partial 16S ribosomal RNA". It matches the Rfam family "Bacterial small subunit ribosomal RNA", at positions 338 to 681 of the family's 1533-position model. The record is from RNAcentral.
CCUACGGGAGGCUGCAGUGAGGAAUAGUGGUCAAUGGACGCAAGUCUGAACCAGCCAUGCCGCGUGCAGGAAGACGGCUCUAUGAGUUGUAAACUGCUUUUGUACGAGGGUAAAGGGAGAUACGCGGAUCGGUCUGAAAGUAUCGUACGAAUAAGGAGCGGCUAACUCCGUGCCAGCAGCCGCGGUAAUACGGAGGCUACAAGCGUUAUCCGGAUUUAUUGGGGUUAAUGGGUGCGUAGGCGGUCGGAUAAGUUAGAGGUGAAAUCCCGAGGCUCAACUUCGGAAUUGCCUCUGAUACUGUUCGGCUAGAGUGUAGUUGCGGUCGGCGGAAUGUAUGGUGUAGCGG